This is a long non-coding RNA of Ipomoea triloba (trilobed morning glory), 895 nucleotides long. RefSeq lists it as uncharacterized. The record is from RefSeq and is a predicted model, not a curated record. NCBI's taxonomy places the organism in Eukaryota, Viridiplantae, Streptophyta, Magnoliopsida, Solanales, Convolvulaceae. The transcript is spliced from 3 exons.
UAAAAUCUAAGGACACAGCCGAUACACCUCCUCCGCCUCCCCUACGACUUUGCGAGUUGCGACCUCCUUCGCCUCCUUUGCGGCUUUGCGAGUAAUGAACGGCGAGCAGCCGAUACACCUCCUCCUGCCUCUCCUGCGAUUCUGCGAACAGCUUACGAAGACUCUUCCGCAACUCUGCGACUCUGCAUCUUUGUCACUCACGUCUCCACCCCAGCCCGUCGCCGUCGUCUUUGCUACCCACGUCUCCGUCGCUCCCUUUUCGUCCUUCCGCCGUCGCUCUCUCGUCCAGUUGUCGUUCGCCAUGGUCGCCCUCUCUUCUAGCCGCCGUCAUCUCGAUGUGAUGCCGAUGCCGUCGAUCCUGCAGAAGUUGACAAGCUGAUGAAAAUUCAGAGGGAGUUGGAUGAAACAAAAAUUAUUCUUGUAUUGGGUAUUGAUCUGUCUUGGAGACUGCACAAAGCAUCUGAUGGUCAAAGGAGGAGGCUACAAAUUUGUAUGGGUCUUUUGAAACCAUUCACGGUACACCUGCAAGACUUUCUAACAUGAUACUUUGCAAGUGAUGUUGUGACAAAAUCAUCUGAAUUGGAAAGCCAACUAAAGGCAGAGUAAAGCUCUAUGGGUAUGGGUUCUUAAGGAUGAUUUGAAGAAGCAUGUGAGCACAACAGAAUUACCUGAGAUGCUUGAAUGCAAUGACUAUGUUAGUUUCUAUAGGAUCAGAACUUGACUUACGAUGGUAGCUUCUUUUACUUGCUUAUAAGAAGCUUUACACAUUAAGCUGUUGUUUGAAUAAUCUGAAUUAUGAACUUUUAAGUCAUGAUGCAUGUAAAGUACCUUAUUAUCUCUUUUGAUACCAUUUCUAACGAUGUAACACUUUGCAAUGUUAUCUUUUUGUUAUUGA